GAGUUUGAUCAUGGCUCAGAACGAACGCUGGCGGCGUGCUUAACACAUGCAAGUCGAACGUGAUUCAGAGCUUGCUCUGAUGAAAGUGGCGCACGGGUGAGUAACGCGUGGAUAACCUGCCCUGGUAUCUGGGAUAACAUCUCGAAAGGGGUGCUAAUACCGGAUAAGCCUCCGGGAUCUUCGGAUUCUGCAGGAAAAGAAGGCCUCUAUUUAUAAGCUUUCGUAUCAGGAUGGGUCCGCGUACCAUUAGCUAGUUGGUGGGGUAAUGGCCUACCAAGGCGACGAUGGUUAGCUGGUCUGAGAGGAUGAUCAGCCACACUGGAACUGAGACACGGUCCAGACUCCUACGGGAGGCAGCAGUGGGGAAUUUUGCGCAAUGGGGGAAACCCUGACGCAGCAACGCCGCGUGAGUGAUGAAGGCUUUCGGGUCGUAAAGCUCUGUCAGAGGGGAAGAAAUGGAACUGGCUAAUAUCCAGUUUUCUUGACGGUACCCUCAAAGGAAGCACCGGCUAACUCCGUGCCAGCAGCCGCGGUAAUACGGAGGGUGCAAGCGUUGUUCGGAUUUAUUGGGCGUAAAGCGCGUGUAGGCGGUUUCUUAAGUCUGAUGUGAAAGCCCUGGGCUCAACCCAGGAAGU
RNAcentral lists this ribosomal RNA (635 nucleotides) under uncultured Geobacter sp. RNAcentral describes it as "bacterial SSU rRNA". It matches the Rfam family "Bacterial small subunit ribosomal RNA", at positions 9 to 622 of the family's 1533-position model. The record is from RNAcentral. Lineage: Bacteria; Pseudomonadati; Thermodesulfobacteriota; Desulfuromonadia; Geobacterales; Geobacteraceae.